AUUGAACGCUGGCGGCAUGCCUUACACAUGCAAGUCGAACGGUAACAGGUCUUCGGAUGCUGACGAGUGGCGAACGGGUGAGUAAUACAUCGGAACGUGCCUAGUAGUGGGGGAUAACUACUCGAAAGAGUGGCUAAUACCGCAUGAGAUCUACGGAUGAAAGCAGGAGAUCGCAAGACCUUGUGCUACUAGAGCGGCCGAUGGCAGAUUAGGUAGUUGGUGGGAGAAACGCUUACCAAGCCGACGAUCUGUAGCUGGUAUGAGAGGACGAUCAGCCACACUGGGACUGAGACACGGCCCAGACUCCUACGGGAGGCAGCAGUGGGGAAUUUUGGACAAUGGGCGAAAGCCUGAUCCAGCAAUGCCGCGUGCAGGAUGAAGGCCUUCGGGUUGUAAACUGCUUUUGUACGGAACGAAAAGCCCCGGGUUAAUACCCUGGGGUCAUGACGGUACCGUAAGAAUAAGCACCGGCUAACUACGUGCCAGCCGCCGCCGUAA
This 498-nucleotide ribosomal RNA is filed under the name uncultured bacterium. RNAcentral describes it as "partial 16S ribosomal RNA". It matches the Rfam family "Bacterial small subunit ribosomal RNA", at positions 30 to 523 of the family's 1533-position model. The record is from RNAcentral.